RNAcentral lists this ribosomal RNA (544 nucleotides) under uncultured bacterium. RNAcentral describes it as "partial 16S ribosomal RNA". It matches the Rfam family "Bacterial small subunit ribosomal RNA", at positions 355 to 889 of the family's 1533-position model. The record is from RNAcentral.
UGGGGAAUUUUGGGCAAGGGCGAAAGCCUGAUCCAGCAAUGCCGCGUGUGUGAAGAAGGCCUUCGGGUUGUAAAGCACUUUUGUCCGGAAAGAAAUCCUUGGCUCUAAUACAGUCGGGGGAUGACGGUACCGGAAGAAUAAGCACCGGCUAACUACGUGCCAGCAGCCGCGGUAAUACGUAGGGUGCAAGCGUUAAUCGGAAUUACUGGGCGUAAAGCGUGCGCAGGCGGUUUGCUAAGACCGAUGUGAAAUCCCCGGGCUCAACCUGGGAACUGCAUUGGUGACUGGCAGGCUAGAGUAUGGCAGAGGGGGGUAGAAUUCCACGUGUAGCAGUGAAAUGCGUAGAGAUGUGGAGGAAUACCGAUGGCGAAGGCAGCCCCCUGGGCCAAAUACUGACGCUCAUGCACGAAAAGCGUGGGGAGCAAACAGGAUUAGAUACCCCUGGUAGUCCACGCCCUAAAACGAUGUCAACUAGUUGUUGGGGAUUCAUUUCCUUAGUAACGUAGCUAACGCGUGAAGUUGACCGCCUGGGGAGUACGGUCGC